Molecule: ribosomal RNA, 120 nt
Filed under: Penicillium oxalicum 114-2
Lineage: Eukaryota; Fungi; Ascomycota; Eurotiomycetes; Eurotiales; Aspergillaceae
Source: RNAcentral
ACAUACGACCAUAGGGUGUGGAAAAUAGGGCUUCCCGUCCGCUCAGCCGUACUCAAGCCACACGCCGGUCCGUUAGUAGUAUGGUGGGUGACCACAUGCGAAUCCUGACUGUUGUAUGUU